ACGUCAAAGUCAUCAUGCCCCUUAUGUCCUGGGCUACACACGUAAUACAAUGGCAACGACAGAGGGCAGCUACCUCGCGAGAGCAAGCGAAUCCCUAAACGUUGUCUCAGUUCGGAUUGCAGGCUGCAACUCGCCUGCAUGAAGUCGGAAUUGCUAGUAAUGGCAGGUCAGCAUACUGCCGUGAAUACGUUCCCGGGCCUU
Molecule: ribosomal RNA, 201 nt
Filed under: uncultured Fastidiosipila sp.
Lineage: Bacteria; Bacillati; Bacillota; Clostridia; Eubacteriales; Oscillospiraceae
Description: partial 16S ribosomal RNA
Rfam family: Bacterial small subunit ribosomal RNA
Source: RNAcentral